Manis javanica (Malayan pangolin) is the source of this 3519-nucleotide non-coding RNA. The record is from RefSeq and is a predicted model, not a curated record. NCBI's taxonomy places the organism in Eukaryota, Metazoa, Chordata, Mammalia, Pholidota, Manidae.
UGGAUAAAGGGGCACAAAAAUUCCCAAUCACAAGCCAGUCAUGGGGAUGGUCGUACAGCAUGGAGAAUACGGCCAAUGGUCCUGUAACAACUUCCUGUGUUGACACAUAGUAACUGAACAGGUCUUUUGGUGUGUGGCUCAGUGUUUUUUCAAGCCUAUAGCUCACACAUAAUAUUUAAAAGGCUUUUAGUAAAGAGAAGAGGAAAUAGACUUGUUAUGUUGUGUUCAGAAAUGCCAGACUAGGAUGAAGAUGUGAAAGUCAGAGAUACAAAGUUCAGUUCAAUGGAAGGAGGAACAUCCUAAUGCCUUGGAUGACCCCACAGAAGAACCCGGGAAGCAGUCUCCUUAUCUUGGGUAUAUUCAAGCAAGAAUUAGAAAGUCUUCUGUCAAAGAGGCUGCAGAAAAGACUCUUCACAGGGUGGAGGUUAAACUGGAUAGAGCUCUAAGGCAUUUUCCAACAGGUAUAUUUUAUGGUAGGUGAUUACUAGCAUCAGUUAAGAGACACCAACUCCGCUAAUGACUUGAGUUCUUCUUUAUCUCUCCCACCCCAGCUUCUUCUUCGACCAUGAAGCACUGAUGCCUACAUCCACUACUAGUGUCUUCCCCAGAGGGCAACACUAGAAUCAAGCAUCAGAGAUAAUGUGAAAAAAGUAAAGUCCUUGAAUGGCUAUACAAAGUAGCAAAUGAAAACACAAUGAGGUAAUAAUGCCAAGCGGUUACCAAUCUCAUAGUUCAUUAACAGUUGCUGAAAGUAUGUUAACAGGAGGAAGAAAAUCACAACAGCUGGCCUAGUUGGCAACCCACUGCUUCCAAGUCUAAGAAACUGUUAGAAAACUGGGGUACAGAAAAAAAGAAUUUCUGCAGAUCCAUUUAGCAGACAAGCAAACUCAAAGAGGGAAGGGAUGACCUGAAGUUGGGACCUGCAUACUGAAGAACUUGACAUCAGAACAUUUCCAAGGCUCAGAAGCAGGAAUGACCUUCUCUAAAUGAAUCCCAAUCGACUGUUCUGGUUUUCAGAGAAUCUGAAGCCUGGGAAAGUUGGAAUGAUUUGCUUUUCUGAAGUCAAGUCCAUGCUCUUGAGAAGGCACUGCCUUCUGAGAUAGAAGAUGGGGCCCGAAUCAGGCUUAAUGAUGGGGGUCCCUGAAGCAGGGCUGGAAGAUUUUAAGAUUUAUGAGUGGCAGGAAGGAGAGGGAAAUGGUGGAUCUAAUAACAGGAAAACUCCAUUCGGGGGGAAAAAUGACCCUCUUUUUCUUUGAAGAAAAAUGGGAGAGGAAGAGAAGGAAAACACUAUACAUGUACAACAGACUGAACCAGUGACUUAGCACCAGGGUUCCUGUGUGAAUAAGAAAAGGUGCCUCUUCCUCAAGGCACUUGACUGCCACCUGCUGGAAGAUUGUUGGAAUAACCUCGCUUUACUGUGCUUCACUUUAACUGCAUUCACAGACACUGCAUUUUUUGCAAAUUGAAGGCUCAUGGCAACCUGGUGUACAGCAAAUCUAUUGAUGCCAUUUUUCCAACUGCAUUUGCUCAUUUUGUGUCUCUGUGUCACAUUCUGUGAUCAGUGAUUAUGACUCACUGAAGCACAGAUGAUGGUUAGCAUUUUUUUAGCAAUAAAGUAUAUUUUAACUGAGGUAUGUACAAGUUUUUAAAGAUAAUUCUGUUGCACUUACCAGACUAUAGUACAUAUAAACUAACUUCUACAUGAACUGGGAAACCAAAAAAGCUCAUUUGACUCCUUUUAUUGUGAUAUUUGCUUUAUUGAACCUGCAAUAUCUUUGAGGUAUGCCUGUUUAGAUAUACACAAAUCUAAGACUACAUUGUAAUUGACAAGAACCUCUAUCUCCUACUGAGAAAUCCUGUUUGGUACAUCUGAGCAACUCCAAGUCUUUGACAUCACUCGCUCAAGUAGUGCCUCAAACCAGGUGAACUAGUCAGACACCAGUCCACUUUGGGCUUCAGUCUCUUAAUAAUUCAAGGCUUAACUUAGGUGCACUUAGGUCCCUUUCAGUGUUAACAUUUACAACAGCACUGCCACGCCUUAUACUCAUAACAGGCAUUCAAUCAAUGUUUGUGAAGUAAGUGCAUAUUAAGCUCACCAAUGAUUCAGGGGUUGACUGUAGUCCAUUAUCUUAAGCCCUAAUUAAAAUAUUAUGUAAUUCAACUAAUAAUGAAUUCUUACCACGUUCAAAGUACUGACAGGUUCUUUGUCUAAUUCUAUUCCAAACAUUAUAUCCUUACAACUUAAGCCAACUGCAGCCAGACCUAUAGUCUAAUUUAUGAACUGUAUAUAUUUUUUUAAAAAGUAAGUCAGAUUUUAGAUUUUCCUCCUAAGAUCUAACAAAGAAAAUGUCUCAUAUUUAGAGGACAAGGACAAAGAGAUGUUUUCAUUGUCCUAGCAUAUAAUGAUCAAGGAUGAAAUGCAUUUACGAAUGUAUCCUCUAAAAGGAUUAAGGACUGAGAUAGUUUUUAACAGCUCAAAGUGAAGAAAUAACUCCAUGAAAAAUGACUCCAAUACAACUGGUGAAUAUACUUCAUGUUACACUCUCAAAACAAUUCUGGAGAUGAGUUUUUUCCAUUCAGGAUGAAAAGACAAGUGACCAGUCAGCUUACCAAAUGUCAAGCAAUUGAAUGUGUACUGUGUAAGUCUAACCACGCCUCUGGAGAACCUUGGGUUCUGGGUUUCCCCUACCAAAAUCACUUCUGAUAUUUUCAGAAGUGAAUUUGAGAAUUCUUUUCAAUGUCCAAAAUCACAAAGUAGCCACUAAGAAAACCAGAAUUCCAAAAUCAUUUCAGAGGAGCUGAACAAGUAUUUCCUCUCUUUGCUCCCACUUCACAGUUUUCUGUAGGAAAACCUCAACCUCUGACUGGGUUACUAUGGUACAGGUACCACUGUAGAUUUGCAAUUUAGCUCUAGAUGAAGUGAGACUGAGGAAAAAUACCAAGUAAGCAUACUUACUGUCAGAAGGAGUAAAAUCAUCUCCAUUAGCUUGAUGAGCCUUUGGGUGUCAGGUCUCAGGGUAACAAGAACUAAAGAAAAUCUACCUUUCUGGUGUGGGAGGCUUAGUGAAUGCUCUGAGUUCUUAGGACAUGUAUAGUAGAGCAGAGGCAGCAAAGUCUGGAGAGGGGUUGAGAUGUAUUUCCCCCUUGUAAAUGAAAUAAUUCAACACACCAAAGGAGAAUAGAAAUAAACACCUGUGUAUCUACCACCAACCCAGCUUUGUCAAACCUUAACACUUUAUAGUUGUUUUAGAUAUUAAAAAAAACCACCAACAUAGCUUUGUCAAAUCCUAACACUUCAUAGUUGUUUAAAAUUUAAAAAUAUACAUAUAUAACAAUGAGACAUUACAGACUUAUUUGAAGUUUCCUAUGUACACUUAACAUGAUGCCAUUCUUUUCCUCUCUUUCUUCUGUGAGUACAUAUCCAUAACAGUACAUGGUAUUGCUGUGAACAUUCUGUAAAUAUCUAUCUGCAACGUGUUUUUUUUUUGUGUAACACAGUUUUUCAUAUUAUAGAUAUAG